GUACCAGCUUCUUACAGUGCUUGUGAGACAAGAUGAAUUGGUUUGAGGCCUUGCCCUGCUCUAUCCAAAGCAAGGUUAUAGAAAUCUCAGACAAUU
Molecule: small nucleolar RNA, 96 nt
Filed under: Sorex araneus (European shrew)
Lineage: Eukaryota; Metazoa; Chordata; Mammalia; Eulipotyphla; Soricidae
Description: Small nucleolar RNA SNORA9 (ENSSARG00000019780.1)
Source: RNAcentral